GUCAGUUUGUCCGAGUGGUUAAGGAGAAAGACUUGAAAUCUUUUGGGCUUUGCCCACACAGGUUCGAAUCCUGUAGCUGACG
RNAcentral lists this transfer RNA (82 nucleotides) under Brettanomyces bruxellensis AWRI1499. It matches the Rfam family "tRNA". From Rfam's summary of the family: Transfer RNA (tRNA) molecules are approximately 80 nucleotides in length. The record is from Rfam by way of RNAcentral. Lineage: Eukaryota; Fungi; Ascomycota; Pichiomycetes; Pichiales; Pichiaceae.